GAUGAACGCUGGCGGCAUGCCUAAGACAUGCAAGUCGUACGAGAUGGCCCAAUGAAGUUUGAGUGCUUGCACAAUUUCUGAUUUGGUUUCCAUCUAGUGGCGGACGGGUGAGUAACACGUGGGUGACCUACCUUUGAGUUUGGGAUAACUACUGGAAACGGUAGCUAAUACCGAAUGAUAUGCAGUUUCAUUUCUGCAUUAAAAGGCGCUUUCAAGCGUCGCUCUUAGAUGGGCCUGCGGCGUAUUAGCUAGUUGGUGGGGUAACGGCCUACCAAGGCAACGAUGCGUAGCCGGACUGAGAGGUUGAACGGCCACAUUGGGACUGAGACACGGCCCAAAUCCUAACGGGAGACAGCAGUUAGGAAUAUUCGUCAAUGGGGGAAACCCUGAACGAGCAAUGACCGCGUGAAUGAUGACGGUCCUCUGGAUUGUAAAAUUCUGUUGUUGGGGAAGAACGAUUGGUAUAGGAAU
RNAcentral lists this ribosomal RNA (471 nucleotides) under uncultured bacterium. Its description in RNAcentral is "bacterial SSU rRNA". It matches the Rfam family "Bacterial small subunit ribosomal RNA", at positions 28 to 465 of the family's 1533-position model. The record is from RNAcentral.